UGUUGCCUCGGCGGGAUCUCUGCCCCGGGUGCGUCGCAGCCCCGGACCAAGGCGCCCGCCGGAGGACCAACCAAAACUCUUAUUGUAUACCCCCUCGCGGGUUUUUUACUAUCUGAGCCAUCUCGGCGCCCCUCGUGGGCGUUUCGAAAAUGAAUCAAAACUUUCAACAACGGAUCUCUUGGUUCUGGCAUCGAUGAAGAACGCAGCGAAAUGCGAUAAGUAAUGUGAAUUGCAGAAUUCAGUGAAUCAUCGAAUCUUUGAACGCACAUUGCGCCCGCCAGUAUUCUGGCGGGCAUGCCUGUCCGAGCGUCAUUUCAACCCUCGAACCCCUCCGGGGGGUCGGCGUUGGGGAUCGGCCCUUUACGGGGCCGGCCCCGAAAUACAGUGGCGGUCUCGCCGCAGCCUCUCCUGCGCAGUAGUUUGCACACUCGCAUCGGGAGCGCGGCGCGUCCACAGCCGUUAAACACCCCAAACUUCUGAAAUGUUGACCUCGGAUCAGGUAGGAAUACCCGCUGAACUUAAGCAUAUCAAUAA
RNAcentral lists this ribosomal RNA (534 nucleotides) under Trichoderma virens. RNAcentral's name for it is "eukaryotic LSU rRNA". The stretch from base 159 to 312 matches the Rfam family "5.8S ribosomal RNA". Lineage: Eukaryota; Fungi; Ascomycota; Sordariomycetes; Hypocreales; Hypocreaceae. The record is from RNAcentral.